RNAcentral lists this unclassified non-coding RNA (218 nucleotides) under uncultured Actinomycetes bacterium. Its description in RNAcentral is "uncultured actinobacterium contains 16S-23S intergenic spacer region". It matches the Rfam family "Bacterial small subunit ribosomal RNA", at positions 976 to 1194 of the family's 1533-position model. The record is from RNAcentral. Lineage: Bacteria; Bacillati; Actinomycetota; Actinomycetes.
UGGGCUUGACAUGCAGGGUGAAACCCGUGAAAGCGGGUGCUCUACGGAGCCUGCACAGGUGGUGCAUGGCUGUCGUCAGCUCGUGCCGUGAGGUGUUGCCUUAAGUGGCGCAACGAGCGCAACCCCUAUCCUUAGUUGCCAGCGGGUCAUGCCGGGAACUCUAGGGAGACUGCCGGUGCCAAACCGGAGGAAGGUGGGGAUGACGUAGCUAAGCCUUC